Molecule: long non-coding RNA, 586 nt
Organism: Dreissena polymorpha
Lineage: Eukaryota; Metazoa; Mollusca; Bivalvia; Myida; Dreissenidae
Exons: 8
Source: RefSeq, a predicted model, not a curated record
CACAAUUCUCUGUGUGGGCACUUGCCAUGACUUUAUUUUAGAAUGUUUCUUUGUGCAUGUGGUAGGGAAAACAUUGAUGUUUAACAGAAAUUCACUCAUUUGCUUGAAGGUUAAAGACUACAUGAGACUUUGACAGAUGGCGGGAAACCCACAUCCACUGGUAGAGGAAUGUCUGCAACUAAGCCGAGGGCCACUGGAUAAGGGUUGUUGAUGGUAAAACAGGUAGAGGAAUGUCUGCAACUAAGCCGAGGGCCACUGGAUAAGGGUUGUUGAUGGUAAAACAGGUUAAAGACUACAUGAGACUUUGACAGAUGGCGGGAAACCCACAUCCACUGGUACGAACCCGGUAGAGGAAUGUCUGCAACUAAGCCGAGGGCCACUGGAUAAGGGUUGUUGAUGGUAAAACAGGUUAAAGACUACAUGAGACUUUGACAGAUGGCGGGAAACCCACAUCCACUGGUAGAGGAAUGUCUGCAACUAAGCCGAGGGCCACUGGAUAAGGGUUGUUGAUGGUAAAACAGGUAGAGGAAUGUCUGCAACUAAGCCGAGGGCCACUGGAUAAGGGUUGUUGAUGGUAAAACAGGUA